This 253-nucleotide ribosomal RNA is filed under the name uncultured bacterium. RNAcentral describes it as "partial 16S ribosomal RNA". It matches the Rfam family "Bacterial small subunit ribosomal RNA", at positions 524 to 776 of the family's 1533-position model. The record is from RNAcentral.
UACGUAGGGCGCGAGCGUUGUCCGGAAUUACUGGGCGUAAAGCGCUCGUAGGCGGCUUGUCGCGUCCGCUGUGAAAUCCCGGGGCUUAACCCCGGGCCUGCAGUGGAUACGGGCAGGCUGGAGGGAGGCAGGGGAGAACGGAAUUCCCGGUGUAGCGGUGAAAUGCGCAGAUAUCGGGAGGAACACCGGUGGCGAAGGCGGUUCUCUGGGCCUGUACUGACGCUGAGGAGCGAAAGCGUGGGGAGCGAACAGG